UGAGUGCCUGGUCCCUGCUGGCUCCACGUGGAGCCGCCCCAAGGGUGCAAGCUGAGGCAGGAUGCCCGGGCUGCCUGGCACUGGGUCCUGCCCUCCUGGGGAGGUCUGAGGAGAAUGCUUGCUCACUGGGAGUCUCCUGUUGGCAGUGUGCAUUUCCAAUUCCUGGUGACCGUGUUUCUGUGUCUGUGACCUGAAUCUGCUCUACCGUCUGCGGGGUCCCGGUGUCCUCUCCUCAUCCCCGAAGCCUCACAAGCAGAGGGGAGUGACGCUGCUCAUCAGAUGGACAAUGACUCUGUGCCCUCCGGGGGCCCCACAGGAUCAUGGGUCCUGAGAACAGAAGAGGUGGACAGGGGGACCUGGAGAGCUGCCAUGCUGAGAGGACCAGGAGAGGGCCAGGAGAGGGCCAGGAGAGGGCCAUGGGCACAGCGGCGCAGCACAGGUGCCCCCAGCAGCUGGCAAAGGCCCAGAAACAGGCCCCGGCCUCCACACCUCAGGCUCAGGCCUCCACUGGGGUCGGACCGCUGACUCCACACAGUGCCGCAGGAUGCUGGGUGACACUAAGCUGCCACAAACCUCACUGCGGGCCGGGCGGGCUGGGGGCCCACUGGCCCCCGGUGCUUGCAAUGCUGGCUCUGCGUGUGGUUUUGCUCGUCCCUUUAUCACAGCCUCGAAGUCAGGAUGGCCCCGUUCAGACUUCUGCUGCAGGGCAGCGGUGUGAGGGUGCUGGCCUCCUUUUCUCCUGCGCGUGUGCUGGUGUGUGUCCUGAGUGUGCAGGGUGAUGUGUGUGCUCUUGACAAGGCAGCAGCAGGCCUGCUGGUGGCAGGGAGGGUCCCCUCGCCCUGCCCUCCCUGUGACCUGGGCUCCUGGGAAUUCUGUGUCCUUGUCCACGAAGCGAGGCUUCA
This 902-nucleotide long non-coding RNA is filed under the name Heterocephalus glaber (naked mole-rat). RNAcentral's name for it is "lncRNA (ENSHGLG00000039533.1)". Lineage: Eukaryota; Metazoa; Chordata; Mammalia; Rodentia; Bathyergidae. The record is from RNAcentral.